RNAcentral lists this ribosomal RNA (520 nucleotides) under uncultured Glomus. RNAcentral describes it as "SSU rRNA". It matches the Rfam family "Eukaryotic small subunit ribosomal RNA", at positions 569 to 1084 of the family's 1831-position model. Lineage: Eukaryota; Fungi; Glomeromycota; Glomeromycetes; Glomerales; Glomeraceae. The record is from RNAcentral.
AGCAGCCGCGGUAAUUCCAGCUCCAAUAGCGUAUAUUAAAGUUGUUGCAGUUAAAAAGCUCGUAGUUGAAUUUCGGGGUCAGUAAGUUGGUCGUGCCACUGGUAUGUACUGGCUUUACUGAUUCCUCCUUCUUGUAGAACCGUAAUGCCAUUAAGUUGGUGUUGCGGGAAAACAGGACUGUUACUUUGAAAAAAAUUAGAGUGUUUAAAGCAAGCUAACGCUUGAAUACAUUAGCAUGGAAUAAUGAAAUAGGACGAACGAUCCUAUUUUGUUGGUUUCUAGGAUUGACGUAAUGAUUAAUAGGGAUAGUUGGGGGGCAUUAGUAUUCAAUUGUCAGAGGUGAAAUUCUUGGAUUUAUUGAAGACUAACUACUGCGAAAAGCAUUUUGCCAAGGAUGUUUUCAUUAAUCAAGAACGAAAGUUAGGGGAUCGAAGACGAUCAGAUACCGUCGUAGUCUUAACCAUAAAACUAUGCCGACUAGGGAUCGGAUGAUGUUAAUUUUUUUAAUGACUCGUUCGGC